This 241-nucleotide ribosomal RNA is filed under the name uncultured bacterium. Its description in RNAcentral is "partial 16S ribosomal RNA". It matches the Rfam family "Bacterial small subunit ribosomal RNA", at positions 94 to 334 of the family's 1533-position model. The record is from RNAcentral.
CCGGGCGCACGGGUGAGUAACGCGUAUGCAACUUACUAUCAGGAGGGGGAUAACCCGGCGAAAGUCGGACUAAUACCGCAUAAAGCAGGGAUCCCGCAUGGGAAUAUUUGCUAAAGAUUCAUCGCUGAUAGAUAGGCAUGCGUUCCAUUAGGCAGUUGGCGGGGUAACGGCCCACCAAACCGACGAUGGAUAGGGGUUCUGAGAGGAAGGUCCCCCACAUUGGUACUGAGACACGGACCAA